Sebastes umbrosus (honeycomb rockfish) is the source of this 359-nucleotide long non-coding RNA. RefSeq lists it as uncharacterized. The record is from RefSeq and is a predicted model, not a curated record. The transcript has 3 exons. Lineage: Eukaryota; Metazoa; Chordata; Actinopteri; Perciformes; Sebastidae.
GAUGUGUGUUUGUGCAUCUCACAAAACACAAGAAAUAAAAGAAUAUAGAGAUGCAGAAAUUAAAGCUAGAUUGUGGCAGGUGAUUGCAGAACAGCUUGGAAUCGGGGAUGGUUGCAAAACAAUGGAUCGAUGUAGGAAAGAUUAAACAGAAGAGAUUGUGCUCUAGACAGCUAAACGAUAGCUUCUUGCUAAUGUCAUUCAUUUAUUAGCCCCAUUUAUUGUCUAGUGUAUCCACUGCACACACCUAAUUAAUUCAGGUUUGUCUCGUUUUGCACAUUUUCCCAAGAAUAGAAUAAUAAAACGCAUCAAACUUAGCGUGCAAGGUUUCUGUGCGUAUGUUUUUAUCGGAUGACGGAUUA